GCCGACGUAGCUCAACGGUAGAGCAGCUGACUUGUAAUCAGCAGGUUGCGGGUUCAAAUCCCAUCGUCGGCUCCA
This 75-nucleotide transfer RNA is filed under the name Bacillota bacterium LX-D. RNAcentral describes it as "tRNA-Thr". It matches the Rfam family "tRNA". From Rfam's summary of the family: Transfer RNA (tRNA) molecules are approximately 80 nucleotides in length. Their secondary structure includes four short double-helical elements and three loops (D, anti-codon, and T loops). Further hydrogen bonds mediate the characteristic L-shaped molecular structure. tRNAs have two regions of fundamental functional importance: the anti-codon, which is responsible for specific mRNA codon recognition, and the 3' end, to which the tRNAs corresponding amino acid is attached (by aminoacyl-tRNA synthetases). tRNAs cope with the degeneracy of the genetic code in two manners: having more than one tRNA (with a specific anti-codon) for a particular amino acid; and 'wobble' base-pairing, i.e. permitting non-standard base-pairing at the 3rd anti-codon position. The record is from RNAcentral. Lineage: Bacteria; Bacillati; Bacillota.